UUAGCUCUAUGAGCUGUUAUAGAAUUGUACUGUCGCAGUAUCCUCGAGACGAGUACUCCAGGUAGUUUAGAUUACAUUUACACUCGUGCUGGUACGCCGAGUGGAUUUAUACAGGGUCGUUUAGACUGUUCCGGACUGUAGGGUGCCGUUGAGGUUGACGGUGGACCCGUAUCGCCUUUUUGGCGUCUGAUUGUGCCGAGAGCACAUUACCUGUUGGUUGUUUGACCAGUUAGAGUCGAUUUCUUGACUUUGGCUUUUCAGAGCCUGUUUGAGCUCGACAGAGAUACGCUGCAUACUCGGUUGGGUAGCGCCCACGAGUGCCACUCCGGAGUCAGGCUUUGUGCUUUCGCGUUGGUGUCGCUCAUGCCAGUUGGACUUGCUCUCCACGGACCAGUUAGUGUGGAUAGAGCCUGAUAGUCGCAACGGGGCAGGGACGGGUGUAUUCACAGUCCCGGGGACGGGUAUGCUUACAGUCCCGAUUGGAUUGGGUCAGAUUUGACAUUUCCUACAGUUGGUUAGUGUAGAGCAUGAUAGUGUAGUGAUUGAUAGCGGUAGAGUGUACUUCCUGCUUUUCCUACUAUUCUUGCUCCCUUCUGUAGACUUAGUGGGUGGACCGAUGUUGUUUUGGGCGGUACCCACUGAGGACUACUUGUUUUUACAGUAGUUCUCACGCCCAGUUGUUACCCCUGUUUUGCAGAGCCACAGGUUUCGGCUGCUGCGCCUUCCGCGGAUCAGGAUCGAGGCGAGGGCGUCCCGAGUUAGAGCCCUACCCGACGUGCUGAGCUAGAGGUGCCCCUACUAUAGGUAGAUGUUUUGUUUCGAGUUUAUGUACAUAGUAGACUUAACUCGCCAGUGCGAGUAGCUCUGUAUUUUGGAUUUGGACUAUGUAUAUGAAACUCAGUUUGUUUAGCUUCUG
This 916-nucleotide long non-coding RNA is filed under the name Ananas comosus (pineapple). RNAcentral's name for it is "long non-coding RNA (ACOM_LNC033710)". The record is from RNAcentral. Lineage: Eukaryota; Viridiplantae; Streptophyta; Magnoliopsida; Poales; Bromeliaceae.